Molecule: microRNA precursor, 89 nt
Filed under: Mus spretus (western wild mouse)
Lineage: Eukaryota; Metazoa; Chordata; Mammalia; Rodentia; Muridae
Description: microRNA 1964 (ENSMSPG00010051759.1)
Source: RNAcentral
CUUUCCUGCGAAGCUGGAGCACAAAAGCCGGUGCCGGUGCUGGUGUGAUGCCUACACCGACUUCUGUGCUCCGGCUUUGGAAGGAAGGA